CUUCGGCGGAGGCUUUCAGCUUGUCGGCGACCAGGCGAUCGAGCAGCGCAGGAUCCUGCAGCCAGCCGCCGUCGUCAUCCUGGAAGAGAUCGCGCAGCACGCAGCCGCCGUUGGUUUCAUAGGCAUCGAUGCCGACGAAUACGGCCCGCUUGUCGGAUGCGCGGACGGCGGUCUCGGUCAGCAUGCGCCGGAUCUGGUAGGGUUCCCUCUGCCAGCUAUUGCGAACCGACUCCCAGACCUGCUCCUGACGCGCAU
RNAcentral lists this unclassified non-coding RNA (255 nucleotides) under Hevea brasiliensis (rubber tree). The record is from RNAcentral. Lineage: Eukaryota; Viridiplantae; Streptophyta; Magnoliopsida; Malpighiales; Euphorbiaceae.